This 517-nucleotide ribosomal RNA is filed under the name uncultured bacterium. Its description in RNAcentral is "bacterial SSU rRNA". It matches the Rfam family "Bacterial small subunit ribosomal RNA", at positions 29 to 518 of the family's 1533-position model. The record is from RNAcentral.
ACGAACGCUGGCGGCGUGCCUAAUACAUGCAAGUCGAACGGUCUUUCUAUGGAAGCUUGCUUCCACUGAGAAGAUAGUGGCGAACGGGUGAGUAACACGUGGGUAACCUGCCCAUAAGAGGGGGAUAACAUCCGGAAACGGGUGCUAAUACCGCAUAGUUUUCUUGAUCGCAUGAUUGAGAAAGGAAAGACGGCCUUUGUGCUGUCGCUUAUGGAUGGACCCGCGGCGUAUUAGUUAGUUGGUGAGGUAACGGCUCACCAAGACGAUGAUACGUAGCCGACCUGAGAGGGUGAUCGGCCACAUUGGGACUGAGACACGGCCCAAACUCCUACGGGAGGCAGCAGUAGGGAAUCUUCCGCAAUGGACGAAAGUCUGACGGAGCAACGCCGCGUGAGUGAAGAAAAGGUUUUCGGAUCGUAAAACUCUGUUGUCAGAGAAGAACAAGUUGGAGAGUAACUGCUCCAGCCUUGACGGUAUCUGACCAGAAAGCCACGGCUAACUACGUGCCAGCCGCCGC